CCAAAGCAAUCGAACCAGACCCAAGCGAGAUGUACGGCUCGGCCUCUCCGCCGCCGCGUUCCCCUCGACGAGAAGCCUCCUUCUCAGAGGAGCUCCCCUUCUGCCGCGCACGCAUCUCGAUCGGUCUCCAGGCCUCCAUGGCGGUCGCCUCGUCUUCUCCCACGCCACAAACCCUAGCACCCGCGAGGCGCUCGAACCGAGUGCCCGCUGGCGGGUCGGGGCGGGGCGGGGCGGGUCGGCGUCUGCGUGGCCGCAGCUCCGCCGCCGCCAGGCCUUGUCGUCAUCCCCCGCUUCCUCCUGAGGAGUGACGCACCCCCAAUUGUGUGUGGAAUUGGUUGUGUUUCGUGCCGUUGCGGCCGCCUCGCCGCGGUGCCCGCGUUAGGGCUUGGUGAUGGUGCGUGGAGGGCGCUCGAACUCUGGAUCGCGAGGCAACGGAACACUAGAACCUUGAUUAGCUCCUUCUCCGGGACGGGCCUUGCGCGCGCCGUGAUCCAAAGUUUGCAUAUGGUGAAUUGGUGACGAUGCAUGUGGUUUACCGUUUACGUGCGACCCACUUGGUAAUCGGUGGUCUGUGGGCGAUUUUCUGGUUAUGAACGUGAAUUGGGGUUGUUUGCGGGAAUAUCUUAUCUAGGCCCGACCUUUUUCUAAUGCGAUACUGAAUUUGGGUUUACUGGCUGCUUCAAUUUGUUAUUAAGCCACAUUCAAGUGGCAACCCAUUUUGCACAGGUGAUUUUUUUUAAAAUAAUGGAAUUUUCCGGCCUCUACGGUUUAACUUACACAGCCUUCAAUUCAAUUAUUACAAUUUUUCCAGCUUCAAAAGCUGGAAUAGCAGGAGAACCAAAAAAAUUAAGCCUGACAAAGUCUAUUAUUAUGCUUCCAUCCAUGACUCGCAAACAUUUCUAAGGCUAUUAUCUCCAAAGAAGUGCUGAUCUUCAUGAACAGAUCCUUUGUCGUCUCCUUAUGCUGACCAAAAUCGUAGCCAGUAGGCCCCCCCUGAAAAUAACCUGCAUAAAGGAUGAAUGUUUAACGUUAUCAAAGAUAAUAUCAUUUCGACAACGCCAUAUUGCCCAACAUAGAGCCGCUGUCCCUGUUAGAAUAGUAAAGGCCUCUUGUGCAUUAAAAUUUUGAAGCCAAUUCCCAAGCAUGUGGGUUAAACUUUUGCACAGGUGAUGUAUACUUUAUAAUUAAGAAUGCAAGAAUCUAUUUACUCAGCAUAAAUUUGACCAUAUGCCAAGGCUCGUGCAACACACAACUCUGAUACAUUGCUGUCAUGUUUUUUUUUUCUGUAGUGGGCAAAUUGUGCGUGCCUGCGCAUCUGCUAUGUUCUUACAAAAAUGGCAAAAAGAAAAAAAAAAGAUGAAUGAAACGAGAAAUUGCUUUAUAAUUGAGGCAAAAAGUUCAUACUUUAAAUUGUUAGUUUAGGAAGACCUAUCUAUCUUGCUAUUGUUAGUAAGGCCCAUCUAUAGCUGGGGGUGAAUAAUGGAAAGUGUAAGGCAAAAGAUGGACACUAGACUAGGAGUUUGAUUUUUUAGAUGAUAGACCCAUGUUGGUUCAUUUCUGUUGGUGACAUGCUACCUUUUUGCUGUCAACUGGUUUGGGAAUAAUAUCAACGAACAUGCUAGGUAUCUCAAAUAACAAAAUGGAAGGCACAAGUACAGAAUUGUCCCUUAUUGAUCUUGUGUUCAUAACCAAAUUAGUUAUUCUUGAUUGUUAGUUUGAAAGAUCCUACAAACUAAAUGAGUUGUAAUGCAUAUUGUUUUUCUUAUUUGUUAUAUUUGUUGAGCGUAUCAGAGUGCAUUGAUCUCUGUUCUUUUUAUCAUAUCAGUUAAUACUCAUUUCCAAAGCCACAUUUUGAAAAUUAACAGUGAUUUUAGAUUAUGCUGGAUAUGUUGAGGUUUAACCUCAUAUUGGUUUUGUUCAAUUGGUGAAAUCUUUGAACUCACUUGUUUGGCACACUAAAAUUAACCUCCCAAAUCUGUCUUGAUUCACCGCAUGACCAUCAUUGUAUGUUGCAGUUCUGAACAAGAAUUUUCUUUCUUUAUCUGGUGGUUCACAAUUGUGAAAUAGGGCUUGUGCUGUGCUUAAAGAAAUGGCCAUGUUAGACCUAUGGUAAAUCAGAGACAGAAUCUAAAUAUCCCAUGUUUUGGAAGGUUGAGAAGGACCUUGAGCACACUGUCUAUAGCACACACUCCAUGAUUUUCUCCGAAUCACACUGAUCUACUACUUGACGCUUAAUUUCGUACAUUUGAAUACUUUUUGUUUGAGUUCUUCGUGGUCUUUGACUCUUUGUGGUGAACUCUUGCAUGGCCUAUUGCUGCAUGUUGCUUACAGUUUUUUAACUACAUUCCCAACCCCUUCCCAUGCAGUGCAACCUCUUACAUUACAUCCCUUGGUUAAUAAUGUUACGAUGCUGUUAUAUCACCUAUUCUAAACUUUCUGCAGUUUGAAGAACUCGUGCAUGUGUAGAAUACAUCAUUUUUACCUGAAAAAUAGGGACUGCAAAAGUACAAUGUUUACAAAAGCAGUUCAAUGCAAAGGAUUGUAGUGAUGCCAUGCAUUUUAGUCUGAUCAUUUACUGCUUUUCUAGUAUAGACAAUGCAUAUGCCUGCAGCAUUUGAUUGGUCCCACAAAACCCUGAUAGCCUGUGUUUCCCUAGGUGGAAGUGUCUUAAUUCCUUUUCCUAUCCGUUCUUCUCCUGGUUUGGUUAUGGAGAUCAACUGCUUUAUAUUAUUUAUAAAUGGCUUCUCAGACGUUAUCCUUUUCUUGACUGGAUCAAACUUCUAUGUGUACAAGUCCUACCAUAUUUUCCUUUCUGAUAGAAUCUUCAGUCUUCUUUGCUAUCUCCAUGCAAAGUGAUCGCAACUACAUUUGUACCUAUAUAUAGAAGAGAGAAUUCACAAUGACUAUCAAUCACGACAAUGUGGGGAUUUUUUUUUGAAGUGAAAGCAAAGAGAUGAUGAGGAAUUCACUCUCAUUUCUGGCUAUAAUCUUGGUAGAUCUUCACCACAUAUCGUACAGAAUCCAUGAUUCAAUUCUUGCAGGGAAGAAAUAUGUAUCCAAAGUUUCGAAGAGUCAGGAGUUAUGCUGCAAGUGAGACUGCCAUCUUUCAUAAACUGGUGGAUGUCCUUCAAGAGAGGAUCCAACUGCAAGAUGCAAGAGGAGUCGCCGUAGAGGCACAAGAGAACAAGUUACAGGAUUAUAUGGGGGCAAUAGAUGGAACACAUGUUCCAAUUUCCCUAGCUCCAUGUCUACAAGAUCCUUAUUGGAAUAUAAAAAGUACAUUGCGGGAAAUGUCAUGGUUGUGUGCAAUCUGAGGCAUGCAUAGCUACGCAAUCAUGUUGAUAGGUGUUGUGAGGAUGCGCUUUCAAAUACUAAAGCGUACUCAUAUCAUUCGAUUGACUCAAUCAGAUAUUGUGUUACCUUGUGCGCUUCAAAAUUUUAUAUGUAACCAUGAGGCAGUAGAGCAAUGGAUUGGACGAUCUGGUUUGUGCAUUUAAGAAUGGGAAAUAGCUGUUGUUCCUGAGCUA
This is a long non-coding RNA of Panicum virgatum (switchgrass), 3527 nucleotides long. RefSeq lists it as uncharacterized. The transcript has 4 exons. Lineage: Eukaryota; Viridiplantae; Streptophyta; Magnoliopsida; Poales; Poaceae. The record is from RefSeq and is a predicted model, not a curated record.